RNAcentral lists this ribosomal RNA (497 nucleotides) under uncultured bacterium. RNAcentral describes it as "partial 16S ribosomal RNA". It matches the Rfam family "Bacterial small subunit ribosomal RNA", at positions 28 to 507 of the family's 1533-position model. The record is from RNAcentral.
GACGAACGCUGGCGGCGUGCCUAAUACAUGCAAGUAGAACGCUGAAGAGAGGAGCUUGCUCUUCUUGGAUGAGUUGCGAACGGGUGAGUAACGCGUAGGUAACCUGCCUUGUAGCGGGGGAUAGCUAUUGGAAACGAUAGCUAAUACCGCAUAACAAUGGAUGACACAUGUCAUUUAUUUGAAGGGGGCAAUUGCUCCACUACAAGAUGGACCUGCGUUGUAUUAGCUAGUAGGUGAGGUAAUGGCUCACCUAGGCGACGAUACAUAGCCGACCUGAGAGGGUGAUCGGCCACACUGGGACUGAGACACGGCCCAGACGCCUACGGGAGGCAGCAGUAGGGAAUCUUCGGCAAUGGGGGCAACGCUGACCGAGCAACGCCGCGUGAGUGAAGAAGGUUAUCGGAUCGUAAAGCUCUGUUGUAAGUCAAGAACGGGUGUGAGAGUGGAAAGUUCACAAUGUGACGGUAGCUUACCAGAAAGGGACGGCUAACUACGUG